Molecule: small RNA, 128 nt
Filed under: Prosthecomicrobium pneumaticum
Lineage: Bacteria; Pseudomonadati; Pseudomonadota; Alphaproteobacteria; Hyphomicrobiales; Kaistiaceae
Description: Alphaproteobacterial ar14
Rfam family: Alphaproteobacterial ar14
About the family: Smr14C2 was renamed NfeR1 (Nodule Formation Efficiency RNA) highly expressed in salt stress and during the symbiotic interaction on legume roots.
Source: Rfam by way of RNAcentral
AGAAUUCGAAAGGCAGACGAACCUCCUCCCUCGUCUCCUUCGAUAGGUGGCCGAGCGAACCUCCUCCCUCGCGACGCCACCACCCAGAGAAGCGCCCGUCGGACCUCCUCCCCCGACGGGCGUUUUUC